This 433-nucleotide ribosomal RNA is filed under the name uncultured bacterium. RNAcentral describes it as "partial 16S ribosomal RNA". It matches the Rfam family "Bacterial small subunit ribosomal RNA", at positions 29 to 507 of the family's 1533-position model. The record is from RNAcentral.
AACGAACGCUGGCGGCAUGCCUAACACAUGCAAGUCGAACGAGACCUUCGGGUCUAGUGGCUCACGGGUGCGUAACGCGUGGGAACCUGCACUUAGGUUCGACCUAACUCCCCGAAAGGGGUGCUAAUACCGGAUAAUAUCUUCGGACCAAAGAUUUAUCGUCUUUGGAUGGGCCCGCGUUGAAUUAGCUAGUUGGUAACGUAAAAGCCUACCAAGGCGACGAUCCAUAGCUGGUCUGAGAGGAUGAUCAGCAACACUGGGACUGAGACACGGCCCAGACUCCUACGGGAGGCAGCAGUGGGGAAUAUUGGACAACGGGCGAAAGACUGAGCCAGCAAUGCCGCGUGAGUGAUGAAGGCCUGAGGGUUGUAAAGCUCUUUUACCCGGGAUGAUAAUGACAGUACCGGGAGAAUAAGCGCCGGCUAACUCCGUG